This 466-nucleotide ribosomal RNA is filed under the name uncultured bacterium. Its description in RNAcentral is "partial 16S ribosomal RNA". It matches the Rfam family "Bacterial small subunit ribosomal RNA", at positions 28 to 507 of the family's 1533-position model. The record is from RNAcentral.
GACGAACGCUGGCGGUGUGCUUAACACAUGCAAGUCGAACGGUAAGGCCCUUUCGGGGGUACACGAGUGGCGAACGGGUGAGUAACACGUGAGUAACCUGCCCUCAUCUCUGGGAUAACAGUCGGAAACGGUUGCUAAUACUGGAUAUGAGCUUGCAAGGCAUCUUGUGGGUUGGAAAGAUUUUUUUGGUUGGGGAUGGACUCGCGGCCUAUCAGCUUGUUGGUGAGGUAGUGGCUCACCAAGGCUUCGACGGGUAGCCGGCCUGAGAGGGCGACCGGCCACAUUGGGGCUGAGAUACGGCCCAAACUCCUACGGGAGGCAGCAGUGGGGAAUAUUGCACAAUUGACGGAAGUCUGAUGCAGCAACGCCGCGUGCGGGAUGACGGCCUUCGGGUUGUAAACCGCUUUCAAUUGUGACGAAGCUUUUUGUGACGGUAGCAGUAGAAGAAGCACCGGCUAACUACGUG